UUUGCAGUACCAACUUUUGCUUCUACUUCUAUUAAAAUAAGCUGCUUUAAGGUAAAACAUAAAAAGCACCCCCGGACCAACUUCUCUAAAACAAGUUGCUGGAAAUUGAUUUUUCAUGAAAUCUCCAAACACGUUAAAAAUAAACACUUAUUAUUAACUAUACUCAUAAUAACCAACUUCCACUGAUUACUUUUUGAGCUUUUUUUUCGGCUCAAAAUCAUUUUUUAAGUGUUUGCAGUACCAACUUUUGCUUCUACUUCUCUUAAAAUAAGUUGUUUUAAGGUAAAACAUAAAAAGCACCCCCAGACCAACUUAUCUAAAACUAUAAGUUGCUGGAAAUUGAUUUUUCAUGAAAUUUGCAAACACACUCAACUGUUAAAAAUGAACACUUAUUAUUAAGUUCAAUCAUAAUCACCAACUUAUAUUUUUGAAAAGCUUUUGCAGACACCACCUAUAAUACUUGUUGACAUUGUGAUCCGAAUUCUAUAUUGGAUC
Molecule: long non-coding RNA, 495 nt
Filed under: Erythranthe guttata (spotted monkey flower)
Lineage: Eukaryota; Viridiplantae; Streptophyta; Magnoliopsida; Lamiales; Phrymaceae
Description: long non-coding RNA (EGUT_LNC003410)
Source: RNAcentral